UUUCAUAAGUAGAAUAGGGUUACUAAUCUGAGAUAAAAAAGAAGUAAGCAGAAAACUUUUAAAUUAAAUAGUAAAAACUUGGCUCUGAUUUUUGGUAUGGCGUGCACUAAGAGAUACACAUGGUUUUUAUUGAAAGAGGUGAGGUGGAAGGCAAGAUAUUGUAAUAAGUAUAAAACUAUAAUAAUACAGCUUUCUAGGAUAUUAUAGUAAAUAUCAUGUCCUGAAAUGCCCACUAACACCAGUGUUGGAGAUUAAGAAAAAAGCGAAAGCUUGUAUUAGCUUAGUGAACAAAAUUUGGUUAAUUUGGUGCCAGCAUCCGCGGUUAAACCAAGAAAUUUAGUCAUUCUUUUAUGGUAAAAAGACAGUUAAGUAAAUGUAGAAAAGUCGUUAGAUCUUUAGUAUAGGAGUAAAAUCCAUGUACUAAAAGUUAUAUCAGAUAUGAUUUAGUUAAGAUGCUGAAGCUGUGAUAGCUUUAAGGGAAACUGGGAUUGGAUACCCCAUUAUUUUUAGUUGUAAAUUUAGUUUAAGCUUACCAGAGUACUACGAAUAAAAAGUUUAAAACUCAAAGAGCUUGGCGGUGUUUUAGACCUCUCAGGGGAACCUGUCUCAUAAUCGACAAUCCACGUUAAACCUGACCUUUGAUAGUAAUUCAGCUUGUAUACCGUCGUCGUCAGGUAACUUCUUAAAAUAUAGUAGUUAGCUUGAAAAUUAUAUUAAUUAAAACGUCAGAUCAAGGUGCAGCUAAUGAAGGGGUGAAGAUGGGUUACAAUUACACAUUUGUAAACACGAAAAACAUGUGAAAAAAUGUCUUAAAGGAGGACUUGAAAGUAAUUUUGAUUAUAUAAGCAGAAUGAAUAAGGCUCUGAAACGUGCACACAUCGCCCGUCGCUCUCGUUGAAAAAUGAGAUAAGUCGUAACAUAGUAGGGGUAAUGGAAAUUGUUCCUAGGCUG
RNAcentral lists this ribosomal RNA (951 nucleotides) under Conus ventricosus. RNAcentral's name for it is "12S ribosomal RNA". The stretch from base 237 to 950 matches the Rfam family "Microsporidia small subunit ribosomal RNA". Lineage: Eukaryota; Metazoa; Mollusca; Gastropoda; Neogastropoda; Conidae. The record is from RNAcentral.